Molecule: non-coding RNA, 968 nt
Organism: Microcebus murinus (gray mouse lemur)
Lineage: Eukaryota; Metazoa; Chordata; Mammalia; Primates; Cheirogaleidae
Source: RefSeq, a predicted model, not a curated record
AUGGACAGUCUGUUAUCCUUGGAUUUCAUGAGCCUAACAAGCAAUAGGUACAAAUGGCAGUUCCAAGGAGGCAUGGCACUGUAUUUAGCCAGACAUUCUUCGCUGAGAAUCGUCAGAGUUUCCUGCUGUUACAGUGCUUGGAUGGAACGGGUUCUCGACCCCAGCCUGAGCCGGCUGCUUAGAGCCAGCCCUCCGCCACCUCCUCACCAGGCCUUCAGAUCGCCCCAAGGGCCCCACCGCCGCUCUGGCGCCUCGAAGCUUCUGCCGCCUCUCCUCAGCCACCGCCAUGACGACCGCCUCCCGCUCGCGGGUGCGCCAUCAACUGCCGGAUCAACCUGGGGCUCUAUGCCUCCCUCCUACGUCUACUCACUUGUCCUUGUCUUAUUACUUUGACCGCGAUGUGGCUUUGAAGAAUUUUGCCAAAUACUUUCUUCACCAAUCUCAUGAGGAGAGGGAACGUGCUGAGAAACUGAUGAAGCUGCAGAACCGACGAGGUGGCCGAAUCUUCCUUCAGGACAUCCGGAAACGAGGCCAUGAUGACUGGAAGAGUGCGCUGUACGUGAUGGAGUGUGUGUUACACUUGGAAAAAAAGUAUGAAUCAGUCACUACUGGAGCCAUACAAAAUUGAUAAAAAAUGACCCUCACUUGUGUGACUUCAUGGAGACUUUACUUGAAUAAGCAGGUGAAAUCCUUGAAAGAAUUGGGUGACCAUGUAACCAACCUGAACAAGAUGGGAGGGCCUGAGGAGGGCAUAGUGGAGUAUCUCUUUGACAAGCACACCCUGGGAGACAGUGGUAAUAAGAGCUAAGCCUUAGGCUAACUUCCCCAUAGCCAGGGGGUGACUUCCAUUGUCCCCCAGGCAUUGCAUGUAUGUUGGAGUUUCCUUUACCUUUUCUAUUAGUUGUACCUAAACAUCCACUUAAGUUCUUUCAUUUGUACCAUUCCUUCAAAUAAAGAAAUUUGGUACC